Trichomycterus rosablanca is the source of this 920-nucleotide long non-coding RNA. RefSeq lists it as uncharacterized. The transcript has 4 exons. The record is from RefSeq and is a predicted model, not a curated record. Lineage: Eukaryota; Metazoa; Chordata; Actinopteri; Siluriformes; Trichomycteridae.
ACAGAGUAAACAUGAGUGCUGCUUUCUGUAAGAGGGAAAAACAACGAAGUUUCAUUUAGGAGAUGAAAGUUAAAAUGAGAGUUUUUAAAUGUGAGUGAAGUGAGUUUGAGCUUCUGAACUGGUUUGAAACUGUUCAUGUACAAGCGGCUCCACAGGUGAGGGUCACUUCAGCCUGGUGAACGUGGUGUUAGGGACAGGAGAAGAACUUUGUGGAGAACAAUCUGCUAAAAGUUUCCAUGUAAGGAAGAGGGUGAUGGAUGAGUUGGAUGGAGGAUUUUCUUUAAUCUGACCAUCACAGCUACACCACAGAACUGAGGGAAAGAUGGAAAACAUUCUGUUCUAAAGUUCAGUUCUUUGGAGUCAUGAAAAAUGUCAUGAGGUCACCAGUGACUCUGGAUGAAGUGCAACAGUCCACUGAGAUUUUGAACGGCCUUCCAGCACUCUUCCCAUCAGGAGUUGCACCACCACAGAAACUGGGACAGCCGAGUGAGGCUCUGUUUCAUAUUCUCAUGCCCUCUGAAAACGCUGCUGCUGUUCUUAGCAGAUGUCGUCUAUCAGCCCCCCUGCUUCUAACUGACCAGGAUAACUGCAUGAUCAGUGUUGGGAAGAACCCAGUGAGAACAUUCCCCAAAGACCUGCUGCACCAAGGUGUUCUGUACGUCAUGGUGUACUAUUAUGUGCUGCAAGUCAGGUCCAGAUUGAAGGACCCUUUUUAUUGUUAUUUUUUAUGUUUAAAGAUGGUAUAUGAAGACCAAGCAAUGUUGUUAAUGUUGUAUACAGAGGGACAUUGUUAUUGGAAAGCCUUGACAUCUAAGAUUUACGUGUUUUAAUAGAAUUUUCAGAAGCUGCCUGAACCUGCUUGUUGUGUAAAGCUGCCAUGAUGGCACACUUGUUAAAGUUAAUAAAAAUUUACACCAAAA